Long non-coding RNA from Dreissena polymorpha, 870 nucleotides. RefSeq lists it as uncharacterized. NCBI's taxonomy places the organism in Eukaryota, Metazoa, Mollusca, Bivalvia, Myida, Dreissenidae. The record is from RefSeq and is a predicted model, not a curated record. The transcript is spliced from 2 exons.
UAGUUCCGGAUCUCGGGUAAUUCCGAAUCAACUCUAUGAUUUAAUUAAAAUAUUAGUCUAAACGAUAUUGCCAAAUCAAUAUAACUGUGAUUUUUGGAAAAUGUGAUCAAUUUCAAGCAAUAACACAGUUUUGCUUCUUAUUUCAACGGUGUUUUCAUUGAAAAUCACACUUUGGUAACUAUCACAGUCGUGUCAUUUUACCGUCGCACUGUCUAUCAAUAACACGCGUCAACAAUUAAAAGACGAUUUAGAAGCACAUUUCCUUGGUAAAUGCUUGUACAUUUGAUAAUUGUCAAGUUGGACGGAUGGGUCCUAAAAAGCACGGGUGCUCUGCACAGUCAUUGGCAAAGAGGCUGAAGCGGAUACUUUUAUAUAUUUUUACAUUAUUGUGAUCCUAUUAUUGUUAAAUGUUAUUUACCAAACAUUUAACUUGAUAUCUAGUAUUGUCUUCCAUUUCUUUACCAUUAUUAUCCCAGAGGUACUGGUUUAUGUUGUUGUUGCUUUUUAUACUUUUAUUACAUUAUUUUACAUUAUUGUGAUCAUAUUAUUGUUACAUGUUAUCAUACUAUGUUAUUUACCAAAAAAGUAACUUGAUAUCUAGUAUUGUUUUCCAUUUCUUUAGCAAAUUUAUUCUAGAGGCACUGGUUUAUGUUAUACUUUUUAUGGAUGCUUUUAUAUAUUUUUACAUUAUUGUGAUCCUAUUAUUAGCAAAUGCAUUCCAGAGGUACUUGUUUAUGUUCAGUUGUCAUUUUUAUGCCCCCGGAUCGAAUGAUCGGGGCAUAUUGUGUUUGGCCAGUCUGUCAUUCUGUCCCAAAACUUUAACCUUAGUUAAAGUUUUUUGAUAACUUUUGCAAUAUUUAAGACAGAAAC